GCCUCCAUAGUUUAACGGAUAAAACGUCGGCCUCCGGAGCCGAAGAUGGAAGUUCAAUUCUUCCUGGAGGCA
This 72-nucleotide transfer RNA is filed under the name Pseudomonadota bacterium. RNAcentral's name for it is "tRNA-Arg". It matches the Rfam family "tRNA". Rfam says of the family: Transfer RNA (tRNA) molecules are approximately 80 nucleotides in length. Their secondary structure includes four short double-helical elements and three loops (D, anti-codon, and T loops). Lineage: Bacteria; Pseudomonadati; Pseudomonadota. The record is from RNAcentral. RNAcentral also lists the same sequence under 4 other names.